CAGUCGCCGCGGUAAGACAGAGGUCCCGAGCGUUGUUCGGAUUCAUUGGGCGUAAAGGGUGUGUAGGAGGCCAGGUAAGUCAGGUGUGAAAUCUCAGAGCUUAACUCUGAAACUGCGCUUGAUACUGCUUGGCUAGAGGAUCGGAGGGGGUAACGGAAUUUAUGGUGUAGCGGUGAAAUGCGUAGAUAUCGGAAGGAACACCAGUGGCGAAGGCGGCUACCUGGAUUGACACUGACACUGAGGCGCGAGAGCGUGGGGAGCAAACAGGAUUAGAUACCCGGGUAGUCCCUGUCUCUUAUAC
RNAcentral lists this ribosomal RNA (301 nucleotides) under uncultured bacterium. RNAcentral describes it as "partial 16S ribosomal RNA". It matches the Rfam family "Bacterial small subunit ribosomal RNA", at positions 509 to 807 of the family's 1533-position model. The record is from RNAcentral.